AGUGUCUUAUGUCUCCAGAGACUCGCACGUGUCCUCUCCCUCAAACAUGCGGACUGCUACUGACAAGUGAAGACGGUCCACACGACAGCAUACAGUAAACUCUCCGUUAAGCAGGUGGAGGGGAUCCGCGGUGAUAUUGGUGCAGGGCAGCAUAUUCAAGCAUCCUUGUCGAUUGUGAUAUUAUAGUGAUAUCUUGGCCGAGGAGAUGAGAUAUGCUCGCGAUAACAAUCACAUAAAAGACACCGGUGGCACAGACCAGACCCGAAGAGCCACUAUAGCAACAUCUCUCAAAGCUUGAAAGGAUAUUUAUAAAGAUGGAAUCAGCUGUGGCCUCUGCUGCUGGCAUCCUUGAACAUUGUGUUGUUGCCACAAUUAAAGCGAUGCAGGAAGGACAACUCCAUUGUUUGAAGAAAAAAAAGAACACAAAAAUCCUUAUUGGAACGUAGGAGUGGUUUUAAUUUGGCUUUUCCAUUGGAUGCAGAGUCCUCGUUGCUCCUGAGCAUGCGCGACCACGUGCGUCCCCAUUUCACACCCGCGAAUCAACAGUGUUUUAAAAUGUGUCGGCAUUUAUUGGACUUCUUUAUGCUGAUUAAAUUGCACACUCCAUGGCAGCCCCAGCCAUAAAAUAUAUCAG
Gasterosteus aculeatus aculeatus (three-spined stickleback) is the source of this 634-nucleotide long non-coding RNA. Lineage: Eukaryota; Metazoa; Chordata; Actinopteri; Perciformes; Gasterosteidae. The record is from Ensembl.